CAGCGCACUCGCUUUUUCACUAAACAAUGAUUUCAAAUCUUAGAGAUUGUAAGAGUUUUAUUUAAAAACACCUCACCUAGGCAAAAAAUGAUGGGGGUUUAGUUACAUUAUAUGAUCAUACAUUGCAUAAGCCUGCCAACGACGUCAAAGUACCCCAUAUUCGGCAGGUCCUAUCCUAGUAACAGCCUAAUGCUUGCUCUUAUGAGAUUAAUCCACUUACUUGGGAAAUACUUCCUUACUAGGACUCUCUGCAAGUCAAGGAUAAAUAGGGCCCUGGAAUGAGGCACCUGUAACAGGGAGGAGUGCAAAACCAAGGAGCUGGCCUGGGACUCCCAAAUAUAUAAAAGAAACCAAGAGGGCUGCACUCACCUGAACAUGCAUACAUUAUAGGGUGCUGCUGGGGCCAAAAUAUACAAAAUACAGAAUCCAGCGCACUCGCUUUUUCACUAAAC
Non-coding RNA from Pelobates cultripes (western spadefoot toad), 452 nucleotides. The record is from the annotation of a GenBank genome assembly. Lineage: Eukaryota; Metazoa; Chordata; Amphibia; Anura; Pelobatidae.